AGCAACUUGACGCAGCGGAAGCGUGCAGGGCUCAUAACCCUGAAGUCCCUGGAUCGAAACCAGGAGUUGCUA
Molecule: transfer RNA, 72 nt
Filed under: Fomitopsis schrenkii
Lineage: Eukaryota; Fungi; Basidiomycota; Agaricomycetes; Polyporales; Fomitopsidaceae
Description: tRNA-iMet (CAT) (tRNA-iMet-CAT-1 1 to 3)
Rfam family: tRNA
About the family: Transfer RNA (tRNA) molecules are approximately 80 nucleotides in length.
Source: RNAcentral